Small nuclear RNA from Sorex fumeus (smoky shrew), 120 nucleotides. The record is from RefSeq and is a predicted model, not a curated record. NCBI's taxonomy places the organism in Eukaryota, Metazoa, Chordata, Mammalia, Eulipotyphla, Soricidae.
GUGUUGUAUGAAAGGAGAGAAGGUUAGCACUCCCCUUGACAAAAAAUAACUUUAGGCGCUAUGAUUUACAAAAAUGUUACCGCUGGGUUUGAUACAUCAAACAUCAUUGCCAUUUGUUAU